ACUUCAUAUUGCAUUAUUGAAGCAUGAAGGGGUCUUUUAGCCAUACAACACUGAUUUGGAUCAAUUCAUGAAUUGUCUAAGCAAGAAACAAAUUAGAUCUGUACAAAAUAAGAAUAAGAUCACCAGUCUCGUGAUGCAAUUUCAUUCCACUAAUUUUUCCAUGAUCGGUAUAGCAUUUCUUUUUCUAUGAAAUUCUUUACUUCUCUUUACAGUGUAACUUCACAGCUAAUCCUGUUGCCAUAUCAGAAUGCGUUUGCAGGGGCAGAUGUUUCUAACCAAGCUUGAGGAUGAUGCUCCCUGUGUUCCUUGCAACCCCUUCUCCAUGCAAGUCAAAACCUGAAUCUCUUAAA
RNAcentral lists this unclassified non-coding RNA (350 nucleotides) under Hevea brasiliensis (rubber tree). Lineage: Eukaryota; Viridiplantae; Streptophyta; Magnoliopsida; Malpighiales; Euphorbiaceae. The record is from RNAcentral.